UUGUGAUGCUGACAGAAGGCAGCUUGGAUAGAACACUUGUGAAAAAAUCUGUUUAUAUAUACGGUAUGUCUUCCCCACCAGACCCUCCACUCCUUUCAAGAAAGGACCUUGUUAUCUACACUGGACCCUCUGAGGACAUGCAAAAACACACCGCAACUGUUGGAUACAGAAUCAUUAUGAAAAUAAGAAAACACUAAGAAUUCUAAUCAGAAAACUGUAAACAGGGAAGUAACAAAGAUGAACUGAGGCAUUUUUGCUGAGUGGCAUUUUCUUACUGUAGGAAACCCAACGACAGUUUAGCCCUAUUCUAAUGGGAACUCAUGCAUUGUUAUUUAUUAAUCAGGUCUAUUCUGGUUCUGACACUCUCAACCAAGUUUGACAGCAGUUUUUCCCAUACCCUGGGAGCACUUGAGGCAUUUUCAAAAUAUAUGAGUGAUCCUUACUAUUUGGAUAUCUGAAAAGGCAGGAUUAUAGUCAACUAUAUAUGGACUGAGAAACUCCACAAUAAAAUGUUCAUCCCAGAGCCACAUUUUUAACCUCUCCUGCUCCCAAUUUUUCACCAAAAUUAUAUAACCAAUGUAAUAGGAAAAUUCCUAUAUCUCUGAGGGAAUUGCAAGUCCCAUGAAAAACAUGACAUUUUGAGUGAAUUCUACAGGAAAUAUGACAAGAAAAAAUCAGAGAAAUGUCAAAACCUAUCGUUCCUUAUUAGCAGAGAGGAACCCAACCAAACAAAAAAAUUGACUUUCCCACCAUUCACACUAAAAUCCCUUCAAUCAGAAGAUGAGAUGGGGAUGAGAGGGGAUGGAGCAAUAACUGUGAGAAGACCCCCCCAUCUUACCUGAGCCUUCAGAUGGAUGCAGGAAUUCGUAUAGAAGAGGAAGGGGUGCCCAUGAACUUCCCACAACUCACAAAGGUUUUAUGAUUAUGAAGCAUUGGCAGAAAUCUUGUCUUGAAAUUUUCAUUCAACAAUGUGGGUUAUACAAAUCAGAAAAACUUUGGGAAGAUGAAGAUAUGAAAUAUAAAAUAAAUUUUAGAAUUAUGCUAA
Molecule: non-coding RNA, 1045 nt
Organism: Macaca mulatta (Rhesus monkey)
Lineage: Eukaryota; Metazoa; Chordata; Mammalia; Primates; Cercopithecidae
Source: RefSeq, a predicted model, not a curated record